RNAcentral lists this ribosomal RNA (460 nucleotides) under uncultured bacterium. RNAcentral's name for it is "partial 16S ribosomal RNA". It matches the Rfam family "Bacterial small subunit ribosomal RNA", at positions 338 to 795 of the family's 1533-position model. The record is from RNAcentral.
CCUACGGGUGGCAGCAGUGAGGAAUAUUGCUCAAUGGGCGCGAGCCUGAACCAGCCAAGUAGCGUGAAGGAUGACUGCCCUACGGGUUGUAACCUUCUUUUAUAAAGGAAUAAAUUGAGGCAUGUGUGCCUUUUUCUAUGUACUUUAUGAAUAAGGAUCGGCUAACUCCGUGCCAGCAGCCGCGGUAAUACGGAGGAUCCGAGCGUUAUCCGGAUUUAUUGGGUUUAAAGGGAGCGUAGAUGGGUUGUUAAGUCAGUUGUGAAAGUUUCCGGCUCAACCGUAAAAUUGCAAUUGAUACUGGUAGUCUUGAGUACAGGUGAGGUAGGCGGAAUUCGUGGUGUAGCGGUGAAAUGCUUAGAGAUCACGAAGAACUCCGAUUGCGAAGGCAGCUUACUAGACUGCCACUGACAUUGAUGCUCGAAAGUGUGGGUAGCAAACAGGAUUAGAUACCCCAGUAGUC